AAAUAAGAAACAAAAAAGAAUAAUGUUUAUUUGAGACAUUAAUUACACAGUUUAUACAAAAUAUGAGCAAUAUUCCACUCUUAACACAAGCUGAAUGGCCUACUUGUUCGAGGUGUUGCACUGAUGUACAAGACGAUAUUGCCCACAUUUUGUAUAAACUGUGGACUUAAUGCCUCAAAUAAACAUUUUUCUUUUUUCUUUCUUAUUUAUAUGGACCCCUCAGUCACAAACCUGAGCGGCUGAGCCACCAGAUGCCCUAAUGACCAUCAAGUGACCAUCUAUAAUAGAAAUACGCACAUACCUACUGUUAGAUAUUCUAGAUGCAUAAAAGAAACUAAUGGGAUAAAUGCCGUUAUACCAUAAAAAACGAGAAACCGGAAGCGUUGGUAUCCUUAUGAGGUCAACAUCCAGUUUCCUCGCACGAAACGUUUUUGUUCAACGCUCUGAUACGAAGCUAAACUCUGGAACGCCCAGCCUUUCCGGCGUCCAUGUUUCCUGUCACUUGUAACUUAAAUCUACUCAUUUAUUUCCAUACGGCAUGAUUGUCAUCAAGCGCAAAAUGUUAAUGAAAACUUUACAGUUUACUUCGACUGAAUAAACGAAACUGUGUCAAUCAA
Maniola jurtina (meadow brown) is the source of this 617-nucleotide long non-coding RNA. RefSeq lists it as uncharacterized. The transcript is spliced from 2 exons. The record is from RefSeq and is a predicted model, not a curated record. NCBI's taxonomy places the organism in Eukaryota, Metazoa, Arthropoda, Insecta, Lepidoptera, Nymphalidae.